RNAcentral lists this ribosomal RNA (472 nucleotides) under uncultured bacterium. Its description in RNAcentral is "bacterial SSU rRNA". It matches the Rfam family "Bacterial small subunit ribosomal RNA", at positions 9 to 482 of the family's 1533-position model. The record is from RNAcentral.
GAGUUUGAUCAUGGCUCAGGAUGAACGCUAGCGGCAGGCUUAACACAUGCAAGUCGAGGGGUAUAGUUCUUCGGAAUUAGAGACCGGCGCACGGGUGCGUAACGCGUAUGCAAUCUACCUUUCACAGAGGGAUAGCCCAGAGAAAUUUGGAUUAAUACCUCAUAGUAUAACGACUCCGCAUGGGGAUGUUAUUAAAGUCACAACGGUGAAAGAUGAGCAUGCGUCCCAUUAGCUAGUUGGUAAGGUAACGGCUUACCAAGGCUACGAUGGGUAGGGGUCCUGAGAGGGAGAUCCCCCACACUGGUACUGAGACACGGACCAGACUCCUACGGGAGGCAGCAGUGAGGAAUAUUGGACAAUGGGCGCAAGCCUGAUCCAGCCAUGCCGCGUGCAGGAUGACGGUCCUAUGGAUUGUAAACUGCUUUUGCACAGGAAGAAACAACGCUACGUGUAGCGUCUUGACGGUACUGUG